AUAAAUUCUUUGAUGAGAAGAGUACUUUUUUAGAGUUCUCAAAGAGAGCCGGCGUCUGGUGAAAGACCGGAAGAAUAUAAAAAAGGAAGAGAGCCUCUGAGAAGCUGCCUGAAGUGUAGAAAAAAUUACAUAAACUUAAUUUGUAAGAUGAUAAAAUAGCGAAUCUUCACUGCUUUUUAGCUGUUUAUAAAUUUUGUUGAAGUUGUUUUUCCAGAUGUGUAGGGUAAGCCGCUGACUGCGUUAAAGUUUUGAGUGGAUACAGCUCAGUCUGUAUCAACUAGAGUGGUACCACGGAUAGUAUGCCCGUCUCUAUA
RNAcentral lists this non-coding RNA (314 nucleotides) under Clostridiales bacterium. Its description in RNAcentral is "T-box sequence". It matches the Rfam family "T-box leader". Rfam says of the family: Uncharged tRNA acts as the effector for transcription antitermination of genes in the T-box leader family. T-boxes are found upstream of many aminoacyl-tRNA synthetase genes and some amino acid biosynthetic genes usually in Gram-positive bacteria. The anticodon of a specific tRNA base pairs to a specifier sequence within the T-box motif, and the NCCA acceptor tail of the tRNA base pairs to a conserved bulge in the T-box antiterminator hairpin. Lineage: Bacteria; Bacillati; Bacillota; Clostridia; Eubacteriales. The record is from RNAcentral.